GGGAAUUCGACUGUCUAAUUAAAACAGAACAGAUAGGUGGCCCUUGCCGGUGUUGACUGUCUCUGAUUUCUGCCCAGUACUCUGAAUGUAAAAGUGAAGAAAUUCAACCAACCGCGGGUAAACGGCGGGAGUAACUAAUGACUCUCUUAAGGUAGCCAAAUGAAAAAAAAAAGCCAGCAAUCGAUACAAGAUUUUC
RNAcentral lists this non-coding RNA (196 nucleotides) under Gongylonema pulchrum. Its description in RNAcentral is "Eukaryotic large subunit ribosomal RNA". It matches the Rfam family "Eukaryotic large subunit ribosomal RNA", at positions 2128 to 2337 of the family's 3401-position model. Lineage: Eukaryota; Metazoa; Nematoda; Chromadorea; Rhabditida; Gongylonematidae. The record is from Rfam by way of RNAcentral.